UGCCAGCCGCCGCGGUAAUACGGAGGGUGCAAGCGUUGUUCGGAAUUAUUGGGCGUAAAGAGCAUGUAGGCGGACUGUUAAGUCUGAUGUGAAAGCCCGGGGCUCAACCCCGGAAGUGCAUUGGAUACUGGCAGUCUUGAGUAUGUGAGAGGUGAGUGGAAUUCCGAGUGUAGAGGUGAAAUUCGUAGAUAUUCGGAAGAACACCAGUGGCGAAGGCGACUCACUGGCACAUUUCUGACGCUGAGGCGCGAAAGCGUGGGGAGCAAACAGGAUUAGAUA
This 279-nucleotide ribosomal RNA is filed under the name uncultured bacterium. Its description in RNAcentral is "partial 16S ribosomal RNA". It matches the Rfam family "Bacterial small subunit ribosomal RNA", at positions 506 to 784 of the family's 1533-position model. The record is from RNAcentral.